RNAcentral lists this long non-coding RNA (1257 nucleotides) under Lactuca sativa (garden lettuce). RNAcentral describes it as "long non-coding RNA (LSAT_LNC000021)". Lineage: Eukaryota; Viridiplantae; Streptophyta; Magnoliopsida; Asterales; Asteraceae. The record is from RNAcentral.
GUAAAAGUAAAAGCAGUCUGAAAAUUUCUGAGCUUUUACCAAAAUCCCAGCUGGAGGUGUCUCUAACUUUAGUUGUAGUUUUGGGUUUUCUGUUUUUCCUGAUGAAAAGAAAAGCCAUCAUUAACCAUUUCAAACUGCGAAAAUCCCAACAACAAAGACGAGUCUCUGCUGUAUAAGUAUAAGAAGAUUCCACAACUGCAAGUCUCUGUGUGUGUGUGUGUGUGUAUGUGUAUUUAAUUCCUAUCCAACUUUAACGAUGCACACGAGCACAUCUCUUGUUAGAUGGACCAUCAACGUUUAGGUGUACAUGUAUAAGUGUUGUAAACAAUAUUAUUUUUACACAUCACCCAAUCAUAUACCAAAAUCAAAGAUAUUUAGUUCCGGAAUUCAACUUUUAAGUUGAUAAGCUUUAACUGAGGCUGCUGUAGGAAAAUAAAAAUUAUUUUUUAUUUAUUUUGUAUGCUGUAUUUGGUAAUUGGUAAUAUGAGGUGAGAUAAACAGAUUUGGGUUUAGUUUUUAUGACCCGCAAACAUGCAACCACCAACCCGUUUAUUAUACGGGUUGUGUUCGGGUUUGUAAAUAAUUUCACAGGUUGAUCCAGGAACUUGCUAAUUUUAUCCGAUAAAAAAAAUAAAAACUAUAUUUAUUAAAAAGAGAAAGUAAACAAUGAUAAGUAAAUAUGUGAUAUUUAGACUUUUUUUUUUGUGAUUAAUAAACCUGAAUUUGACUUAUGAAUCCGUGAAUUCCUAUAAUUAAACGGGUUGAUUUGCUUAUGGCUAAUUCGGGUUAAUACGACACAAAUAUUUAUAUAAGUCGUUUUCAGGUUGAGUUUGUAUAACUCACCAAGGCACCAAUCGAUAUGAUUGCCACCUCUCUUGUUAAUUGGUAACAAACAUUUUGACCAUUUAAGAUGGUGAAAUAAGUUGCCAAAUGUGAGUUUUCCACGUCUUGAUCUAUUGUUUAAUAUCAUAUUCCUUUUAUACUCUUAGUCAUAUUUUUAAUUUUAAAACUUUGCUAUAAAAUAUACAUUGCUAUUUUUAUUGCUGUUAUUGCUAUUUUAAAGAUAGUUUUAUUGUAUAAGCAAGAAUUUUGUAUAAUAUAAAAUAUAAAAAAGUAUUCUAAGAAACAAAAUAGUUAAAUACCUUCUGAAAUCGAAGAAUAAUCACUACAACAAUUUGGAGAAACAUAUGGAGAAAUGAUGAUUUAAACAUCUAGAAAUAGAUAAAAAAAAAAUACUAGAAGUUUUUCUAAGCAUAA